This 402-nucleotide ribosomal RNA is filed under the name bacterium. RNAcentral describes it as "partial 16S ribosomal RNA". It matches the Rfam family "Bacterial small subunit ribosomal RNA", at positions 355 to 776 of the family's 1533-position model. The record is from RNAcentral.
UGGGGAAUUUUGCACAAUGGGGGAAACCCUGAUGCAGCGACGCCGCGUGAUUUAGAAGGCCUUCGGGUUGUAAAAAUCUUUUCUAUGGGAAGAAAAUGACAGUACCAUAGGAAUAAGGACCGGCUAAUUACGUGCCAGCAGCCGCGGUAAUACGUAAGGUCCGAGCGUUGUCCGGAAUCAUUGGGCGUAAAGGGUACGUAGGCGGGUAAGCAAGUUAGAAGUGAAAUCCUAUAGCUCAACUAUAGUAAGCUUUUAAAACUGCUCAUCUUGAGGUAUGGAAGGGAAAGUGGAAUUCCUGGUGUAGCGGUGAAAUGCGCAGAUAUUAGGAAGAAUACCGGUGGCGAAGGCGACUUUCUGGCCAUAACCUGACGCUGAGGUACGAAAGCGUGGGUAGCAAACAGG